Molecule: ribosomal RNA, 165 nt
Filed under: uncultured bacterium
Lineage: Bacteria
Description: partial 16S rRNA
Rfam family: Bacterial small subunit ribosomal RNA
Source: RNAcentral
UAGGGAAUCUUCGGCAAUGGACGAAAGUCUGACCGAGCAACGCCGCGUGAGUGAAGAAGGUUUUCGGAUCGUAAAACUCUGUUGGUAGAGAAGAACGUUGGUGAGAGUGGAAAGCUCAUCAAGUGACGGUAACUACCCAGAAAGGGACGGCUAAUUACGUGCCAC